UUCACAAUCUAUAUAUACUAUGUCACACACAAAGGCCAAAUAUAAUCCUAGAAGUAGCAGAUUUGAAAAUAUUUCUAUUGCACAUAAUAUCAUGUAUCAAGCACCAAACACCAAGGAACUGCUUGGUAUUGAAAUCAUGUAUCUUGUACCAGGGAACUGUUUUGUCCAUCACAUGAGUUUGUCGAAAUAAAUACGACAAAACUGUCCUCUUGCUAAGGUAGUUAACAGCACAGGAGUACAUGGUGAAACGAGUGAAUUCAGAUGAGCUUCUUCUUCUGGAAGAAGCCUUGCAAAUGCCAUAGCUGCAGAGCGGAGACCACAAUGCACACGCCCAGUGACAAGAUGCUGAACCAGGCAACCCUGGAAUUCGUUUUCUCGCUCACUUCCCGCAUCUCCGCUUCCCUGCAUAAACACAUCAAGAUCACGCAUUAUGCUAUGCAUUGCCAGUUCCAAAUAUUAUAUUGUAGUAAAGAUAAGUAAAGCUAGUAGGUUUGCUUGUCCAUAUCCCAAGAACUGUAAGACCACCUAAGAACUUCAAAUAGCAGCUCAAUCUACAGCCCAAGACAGAUGAGACCCGUAGGUUCUGUUUCACAAAUCACAAUGCUGUAGUUUCAUAGUCACCAACUUUUAUAUGUAACAGUUAGUUCAAAGUAUAUUUAUAUUUAGCCUAUAUAAAAACAUCCAACUGGAAAUAGUACAGACUACAGACUCCCCUACCUAAAUAGACUGGUGCAACGUAGCACAACGACCACAAUCUGUUGUCUGGCUAUUAAAACACACACAAAAAGUAGAAUAGAUAACUUGCCUUGCUUUGAGAUAUAAUAAGUUAUGAUGAAUGGAUUCCACUGCAGCUUCAAGUUUCGCGAGCUCUAAUUCAACACCCUGAACACAGAAAUUUCAGAUUAAAAUAAUCAGGAACAAAAAACAAUGCAUUACAUUGAAGUAUAGUGCCAUUUGGACUAGGUGUAUUUAAAUAAUUGGCACACCUCAAUCUUCUCCUUCUUGGCAACAGAGUCCCAGUCCUUUGUCGCAAUCCCUAUCUUCCAAUCAAGAUUUAGAGAUACUCCUGAUCCUUUCUCUGCGCUGUCUAGCCAGAAGCAAGCAAGGUAGUUUCCAGCUUCUGAAGUUGUAAAUGCAAACUGGCCCACUGUGGCAUUUUCUUUGUGAUGUACAGUAUUGCCAUAUGGUGAGGUAAC
RNAcentral lists this long non-coding RNA (1196 nucleotides) under Triticum aestivum (bread wheat). RNAcentral describes it as "long non-coding RNA (TAES_LNC014346)". The record is from RNAcentral. Lineage: Eukaryota; Viridiplantae; Streptophyta; Magnoliopsida; Poales; Poaceae.